UAACCUGCCCAAGAGACUGGGAUAACACCUGGAAACAGAUGCUAAUACCGGAUAACAACACUAGACGCAUGUCUAGAGUUUAAAAGAUGGUUCUGCUAUCACUCUUGGAUGGACCUGCGGUGCAUUAGCUAGUUGGUAAGGUAACGGCUUACCAAGGGCAAUGAUGCAUAGCCGAGUUGAGAGACUGAUCGGCCACAUUGGGACUGAGACACGGCCCAAACUCCUACGGAAGGCAGCAG
Molecule: ribosomal RNA, 239 nt
Filed under: uncultured bacterium
Lineage: Bacteria
Description: partial 16S ribosomal RNA
Rfam family: Bacterial small subunit ribosomal RNA
Source: RNAcentral